Molecule: long non-coding RNA, 223 nt
Filed under: Ricinus communis (castor bean)
Lineage: Eukaryota; Viridiplantae; Streptophyta; Magnoliopsida; Malpighiales; Euphorbiaceae
Description: long non-coding RNA (RCOM_LNC001122)
Source: RNAcentral
AUCAUGGGUUACCUUGAAAGAAAAGCUCUCUUCACCUCACCCUCUCUUGCAUAGAAAUUGUCAUUUUUUCUCUCAUAACUCACAAUCACACCCUCUCCUUUUGCAUGCGACUCUCUCUCUUUUCUUCUUUGCGCAUCACUCUCUUUCUAUCCUUUUCCUCUCUAUGCUCACAUCUCUCAUGGCUUUUCACACAACUCUCCUUAUGUUGCGCUUUUAUCUCUUU